RNAcentral lists this ribosomal RNA (433 nucleotides) under uncultured bacterium. RNAcentral's name for it is "partial 16S ribosomal RNA". It matches the Rfam family "Bacterial small subunit ribosomal RNA", at positions 29 to 507 of the family's 1533-position model. The record is from RNAcentral.
AACGAACGCUGGCGGCAUGCCUAACACAUGCAAGUCGAACGAUGCCUUCGGGCAUAGUGGCGCACGGGUGCGUAACGCGUGGGAAUCUGCCUUUCGGUUCGGAAUAACUCAGGGAAACUUGAGCUAAUACCGGAUAACGUCGCAAGACCAAAGAUUUAUCACCGAAAGAUGAGCCCGCGUAGGAUUAGCUAGUUGGUGAGGUAAAGGCUCACCAAGGCGACGAUCCUUAGCUGGUCUGAGAGGAUGAUCAGCCACACUGGGACUGAGACACGGCCCAGACUCCUACGGGAGGCAGCAGUGGGGAAUAUUGGACAAUGGGCGAAAGCCUGAUCCAGCAAUGCCGCGUGAGUGAUGAAGGCCUUAGGGUUGUAAAGCUCUUUUACCCGGGAAGAUAAUGACGGUACCGGGAGAAUAAGCCACGGCUAACUCCGUG